AUCGCUGCUUUCGAAUGGGUGCUGCUGACCAUUGAAGACGGUUUUUGUCCUAGUGAUGACGCACACACAAACAUACACACCGAGUGAGAGAGGGAGAGAGAAGAGGGCAACGGGAUCCGUUCCCCGACCAGAGUUGCCGUUUGACACCGUAAUGGUGGGGUAAGCAGGAAGUUGCAUGUACUUGUUCUUUGAAGAGUCGUUGGAGUCAUGUGCAGACAGAGUAGUCGGAGCUUGGGGCCUUUGAGGUUCAACGACUUUCAAACUAAGAUAUCCAGCUGCUGAAACUCGUGAUUUUCCCCACGGUUUUCAGAGGUUGAGCGUUGUGUUUUAUUGUGACAGAGUUUGUGACAGUUUUGUGAUUAUCUGUGCUUGGGAACCGUGACCCCUAAGGGCAUAAAUCACAAGAAGGCAAAACUCGCGUCGCCGUGUAACAGGUCUUAAGUUCUAUGAGGUGGAGUAAUUAGGUGAAGCUUUUGGACAUUGCCGAAAAUCUGAGAUUGAUGAUCACCAGUAUUUUACACCAGAGUGAAGGCACCGCAAGAGAUCGGCGAAGGGUUAUGUCCAGGCUCCGACUGGAUCUCAUUGCUAAUGGUGGUGGUGUUCAUAAACGAGCUUCACAUCAAUGACGCAACUAGAUGAAAUCAACCGGAUAAGUCCUGUCAAUGACUCCGACAUUCACACGAUUCAUCCAAAGUAAGUCUUGUCCAUCUCAAGCUCAGCUCAUCAUGAACACACUCGCGAUGGCCUUCUCCCAAGUGUGGUGACUUGUCUCUGAAUCCCCCCCCCAGAAUACAGAAUCAUCACUUCUCACUACCCUCAUCAAGUCACAAUGCAAUCUACCAAGAUCUGCAAAUCCUCCACGAAGGAAUUCUUUUGACGGGCACGGAGCGGCUGGUAUGCUCUUCAAGCUUUAAUAUCAAUCAGAGUGUAUAACUGUGUCCUCGACAACGAUAAAUUGCUACAGAACUGUGGCGAUUUAAUUCGACUAUCCUGUAACUUCCUCCAACAGACUUGAGGGUUCUGGUCCGAGUCUUGCAGCAGCAGCAUUGCCCAGAACCUCACAAAACAACAUCCGUCGUAUUGUAACCCAAUGGCAGACAACCCUCAACUAUGAAAGACAGACUGCACCAUCGACAGGAUGACCACCGAUUCGAAGUAAGGCUCCUGAUGACACCGCGACGGGUACGAAGCAGCAUUUAAGACUAAAACGUGGCCAAACAGAAGCUUCAGAGACAGUGAACACAACACCCAUCUCAGUCCCAAAUCAAGCGCAGUAAAAAUUCCAAGCUCUUCAGCAGACUUUGGCCAAUCCAAAACCUUGCAUUUGUUCCUUACUCUCAUUACCCAACUCUUCAGAUUGCAACUUCAUCAAAACAAGGAUUAAACCUCUGCAGCUUCCAACCCCCCGAAAUCCGCCGAAAACAGGCAAAAUCCAUGUCUGGAUUAAGAAUUUGCUGCUGUUGUGAUUCGCUGUCUCAAAGGUAUCCCAUACUCGAUGGUUUCGGAUCUUGUUCGUGACGCCAAGUAUGGGCUCUUUUGCUACCAUUUUAGGAAGAUGACCCAAUGGAUUUUGCAUUCUUCAGUUGCAAUGCCCUUUUUUUCAAACUGCUGCAAGUUUAGGUUGUUGCUCAUUUGUAGAUAAUAUUAGCAAUGGAACAUUGCCGUGCUUUUAAUCUUUUCUUAAAAAGCUUUGAGACUUGCUUCUUUACAAGUAUGCAGCUAAUAUCUUAGUGGUAUAAAAAGAUGCCGUUUGUUAUAUUUUGAUGUUUUUCUUAUGUUUUUGUAUCUAACUAAAAUGAAAAUAUACAACAAAUUCAUGAUA
This is a long non-coding RNA of Physcomitrium patens, 1822 nucleotides long. RefSeq lists it as uncharacterized. Lineage: Eukaryota; Viridiplantae; Streptophyta; Bryopsida; Funariales; Funariaceae. The record is from RefSeq and is a predicted model, not a curated record.